RNAcentral lists this ribosomal RNA (253 nucleotides) under uncultured bacterium. RNAcentral describes it as "partial 16S ribosomal RNA". It matches the Rfam family "Bacterial small subunit ribosomal RNA", at positions 524 to 776 of the family's 1533-position model. The record is from RNAcentral.
UACGUAGGGAGCGAGCGUUGUCCGGAAUUACUGGGUGUAAAGGGAGCGUAGGCGGGAUUGCAAGUCAGAUGUGAAAACUAUGGGCUUAACCCAUAGACUGCAUUUGAAACUGUAGUUCUUGAGUGAAGUAGAGGUAAGCGGAAUUCCUGGUGUAGCGGUGAAAUGCGUAGAUAUCAGGAGGAACAUCGGUGGCGAAGGCGGCUUACUGGGCUUUUACUGACGCUGAGGCUCGAAAGCGUGGGGAGCAAACAGG